This 99-nucleotide signal recognition particle RNA is filed under the name Chitinispirillales bacterium. RNAcentral's name for it is "signal recognition particle sRNA small type". It matches the Rfam family "Bacterial small signal recognition particle RNA". From Rfam's summary of the family: The signal recognition particle (SRP) is a universally conserved ribonucleoprotein involved in the co-translational targeting of proteins to membranes. Lineage: Bacteria; Pseudomonadati; Fibrobacterota; Chitinispirillia; Chitinispirillales. The record is from RNAcentral.
AGUUGGGUCCCGCGCAAUUGAAUCUUGUGAACCCCGCCAGAUUCGGAAGGAAGCAACGGUAAGCGAUGUAUUUGGUGUGCCGCGGGUAACUCAACUUUU